GGUUUUAUAUUUUAUUUAAAAUAUUAAAUUGCAAAUUUAAAGAUACAUAAUUUAUGUUAAAACUU
RNAcentral lists this transfer RNA (65 nucleotides) under Graneledone verrucosa. RNAcentral describes it as "tRNA-Cys". Lineage: Eukaryota; Metazoa; Mollusca; Cephalopoda; Octopoda; Octopodidae. The record is from RNAcentral.